GACGAACGCUGGCGGCGUGCCGAAUACAUGCAAGUAGAACGCAGUUGCGAACGGGUGAGUAACGCGUAGGUAACUGCCUCAUAGCGGGGGAUAACUAUUGGAAACGAUAGCUAAUACCGCAUCCUGUGAGAUGGACCUGCGUUGUAUGAGCUAGUUGGGGAGGUAAAGGCUCACCAAGGCGACGCUACAUAGCCGACCUGAGCGGGUGAUCGUCCACUCUGGGACUGAGUCACUGCCCAGCCCCCUCCGGGUGUCAGCCGUAGAGAAUCUUCUGCAAUGGACGGAAGUCUGACCGAGCACCGCCGCGUGAGUUAAGAAGGUUUUCGGAUCCUAAAGCUCUGUUGUUAGAGAAGCGGUAACUACCCAGAAAGGGUCGGCUAACUACGUGCCAGCCGCCGCGGUAAUUC
Molecule: ribosomal RNA, 407 nt
Filed under: uncultured bacterium
Lineage: Bacteria
Description: partial 16S ribosomal RNA
Rfam family: Bacterial small subunit ribosomal RNA
Source: RNAcentral